GUCCACCAAGGGACAGGUGAUCUGAUUCCAGCCAAUAAGACUAAGGAGGCCUUUGUUGGAGUUUCAUAAAAAAGAAGUUCCCACUUUUCUGAAAGAGCUGCAGGAAGCCACUUCUUUCUACUACUGGAAGGGGAUGAGGCAGGGUGCAGCCCAACCUGUAGCUGGCAGCCAUGCCAUAACCACAAGAACGGCCCCUAAGGCAGAGUCAACUCUAGGAUGGAGAAUAGAAGGAAGUAAAGAUCCUGGGCCCUUGAUGAGAUCUUUGAGCCAUUGGAUCUUCCAGCCGUGAAGACUGCCCUUCAUCGGACUACAGUAAAAAAGCCACAUUAGAGCUGCUCACAGUGGUUUGCACCUAUAAUCCUAGCACUCAGGAGGCUGAGGCAAGAGGAGCACGAGUUUGAGACCAGUGUGGACUGCACAGUGAAUUCAGAGCUGGCCUGAACUACAAAACAAGACCCUAUCUCAAAACAAAAGGCACUUUCCGUUAGGAUUUUGAAUACUCACAGCUUCUAUUCACUGAUGAACAGCCUUUCCAUGCAACAAGAGGAACAAGACACAUGGAGAGAUCCUGGUUCAGAAGACCUAGAAUGGAGAGGAGGCUAAGAAUCUGCAUUUUCAUCAGAGAUACAGGAUAUCAUGGAUAGAAGGUUGAUCAGGAGCCACCUGUGAAGAAGCUCUGGAAUUGGAAGCAGGACAGAGAGGCCUGUAAAGAUUAACUUUUUCAUUCAUUUUUUAGAGCUGCUAACAGCUUGUACUGUAACUAACACUGGGUGAAAAGAUAAUCAGGGGCAAUGAAGAAAAGGCUAAAAACACCUCUCCAGCCUCUCCACCCUGGAGCAAUGUCCAGGAGGCCAAGGAGAAAGGGCAGGAGCCUCCAUGACCUCUGAAAAGGGAAGGCUGGGGCCACUCCAUUCUGGCCCCAGCCUUGCACAUGAUCUGAUUCUUUUUGGAUAACAUAAAUAAUAACAGUGAAGUAAAAACCCUAUUAAAAAAAAAACUUGACUCUGGUGACCCAGAGACUAGCCAGGGAAUAACCACAUCGCAAUCACCUAGACUUUGCACUGAGAAGCACAAAUUUCUAGCAGUUCUCCCCUCCUUCCCUCUUUCCACUCCUUACUGCUGUGACACUGGGUCUCGUGAUGUGGUCAGCUGUCUUCCCUUUUACAAUCCGGAGCCUUUUCCUAUCUCUUGACAAACAUGAAAAAGGGAUCUUGAAUAAAAAGCUGAGCAUGA
Chinchilla lanigera (long-tailed chinchilla) is the source of this 1233-nucleotide long non-coding RNA. RefSeq lists it as uncharacterized. NCBI's taxonomy places the organism in Eukaryota, Metazoa, Chordata, Mammalia, Rodentia, Chinchillidae. The transcript is spliced from 2 exons. The record is from RefSeq and is a predicted model, not a curated record.